CCAGCAGCUUCUGGGGCAACCGGCUCGCCACCCAUUCCGCACCGCAGCCUGGGGUUUGUUGCUGCCUCCUAAUUCCGUUCCGUUCUUCUGCCCUAGCGUUUUGUUAAAUCCGUAGCCGUGUAGCAAUGCAAAGCGCAAUUGGAGAAAUUUGUUCUUGGGAUGUUCCAAGCAUACAGUGUGAUUUGGAGGUUUAGAGCUCGUCUAUUGCAUUGAAAUGUAAAGUUAGCAGUAUUUAUUUUGUUCAUUGUGCAUUUCAAGGUUGGCAAACCAAGCUUACCACUUUACCAGUAUAUUUAAAUUUAGACCACGGGCCUUAUUGAAUUUUACUUUUGCUUCCUUUUUUAUGUAUGUAUAUGCUGAAAUGGUAAAGUUUGAAUAGACCAAACAGAUUAAACGAUUGAGAUUAAUUUAAAUAAGAAAAAAAUUUCCUUUGUUGCUGGUACUCAGGCACUGUCCUUCUUUUUUCAUAUACAACUGUAUGUGCGUUUUUACUGCUAAUAUAGAGUAUGCUAUGUUGGAUGGGGUAAAGAUUAUUUGAACACCCUGGAUUUAGCAUGUCAACUGUGGAAAUUAUUAUUUUUAAACACCUCAACUGAGGAAACUAUAUUGUCUUCGAUGGGCCAUUGUUUCAGUUGAUAUAUUUAUUGCCUGAAUUGUUUUGUUGUGCUGAAAUAUACUUAGGAUUGAGGGCAGUACUUUUCAUGUUUGCUUCUUGUAUUUUCUUGUAAGCGAUGUGACAUUGAUUGGCUUUCUUUCUCACAUCAUGCCCCGCAUCACAUAUGACUGACCAGAAACUAAUUGGGCACCAAACAGUGUGUGAUGAGCAUAGUGCUGAUUGAGUGAUUGUAUUUGUGCCUUCUUUUCUAAAUUAUCUUCAGUAUGUCUUACCUAUUGAAAUCUGCUUGCACCCGGGAAAUUCCCAACUGAUAAAAAAUGGACGAGGAUAAACCUUUCUCUUUACUAGGAAAAGCAAACGAAGAUUAAUUAUAUAAUGAUGCUAGGUAAUCACUGUUGAAGGAAGUGAUAGAACUACUGUAUUUUAAGUGGUAGCUCAUACUGAAAUUUACUCAAAGAAAUAUGCAUAAAGAGCAGCCCAGAAUCAUGAAGCACGACCACUAUGUUUGAUUCAUGCCAUGUCUGAAAAGCAUCUGAUCAGUAUCUCCUUUAUUUGAAAUGAAAUAUUAUGUUAUUUUACUCUGAAGUUCUGACAAGCUGUUUAAUAUGUUCAAUAUGCAGAUAAGGUUUAUGGUCAAGAUAUGCCCGAUUGAAAUGAGAGUGAGUAAAAAAAAUAGUCCAAGUAUCUGAUGUUUUUUGUCCAUUGUUAAAUGCCUAAAAUUUUGCUUUCGGCUGCAGCUUAAGAGAUGGGAGCGAAAGAAAUGUAAACCGAACAGCCUUCCUGUGCUGCACAAGAUGCAUGUUAGGAUUGGGGAUACAGUACAAGUCAUUGCAGGCCGUGAGAAAGGUAAGGUUGGAGAAGUUACACGCCUUUUCAAGCACAACAGCACUGUGAUAGUGAAGGACCUGAACUUGAAGUCAAAGCACAAGAAAGGCACAGAGGAUGAACCGGGUGAAAUCGUCAUGGUCAGCAAAUAUUUCUAUCGAGCGUCUUUUGGGCCUCCUGUUAUGUGUUGCAUAGUUGCAUAUGUUUAUUUCAAGACUAUAGUUUUAGGUGCCUGAUAGCUAUCUCCUGAUUAGACUUAAAUUUCUUUUGACCAGAUUGAGGGCCCCAUUCAUAGCUCAAAUGUGAUGCUCUACUCGAAGGAGAAGAAUGUGACAAGCAGGGUUGGCCACAAAUUCCUCGAGGACGGGACCAAGGUCCGGUACCUGGUCAAGACUGGGGAAGUAAUCGAUAGCGUCGAAAAAUGGGUAAAGGUGUUUAAGGAAGGAAAUUCGGAGUAACCAUGUUGGCAUGAAAAGCCUGCAC
This 1924-nucleotide long non-coding RNA is filed under the name Setaria viridis. RNAcentral describes it as "long non-coding RNA (SVIR_LNC005050)". Lineage: Eukaryota; Viridiplantae; Streptophyta; Magnoliopsida; Poales; Poaceae. The record is from RNAcentral.